GGAGGGGGCAAGCGUUAUUCGGAUUUACUGGGCGUAAAGCGCACGUAGGCGGCAUGGCAAGUCGCAGGUGAAAGCCCUCGGCUCAACCGAGGAACUGCCUGCGAAACUGUCUUGCUUGAGUCCGGGAGGGGGGAGCGGAAUUCCCAGUGUAGCGGUGAAAUGCGUAGAUACUGGGAGGAACACCGGUGGCGAAGGCGGCUCCCUGGACCGGUACUGACGCUGAGGUGCGAAAGCGUGGGUAGCAAACAGGAUUAGAUACCCUGGUAGUCCACGCCGUAAACGAUGGGCACUAGGUGCAGCGGGUGUCGACCCCCCUGCUGUGCCGAAGUUAACGCAUUAAGUGCCCCGCCUGGGGAGUACGGUCGCAAGGCUG
This 373-nucleotide ribosomal RNA is filed under the name uncultured organism. RNAcentral describes it as "partial 16S ribosomal RNA". It matches the Rfam family "Bacterial small subunit ribosomal RNA", at positions 527 to 896 of the family's 1533-position model. The record is from RNAcentral.